UUAACAAGACCCGAAGCUGAGGAAGAAGAUGCGAUGUUGUUGUUGUUGCUGCUGCUAUGGAACUUGUUGCGUUCUCUAUAUAAAGCAUCGAGCUGGUGAAAGUAAGGACAAGUCUUGGAAUCUUCGGGACGUUUCUUGUUGCUCUCUUUGACUUUCUUGAAGUAUUUGUUUAUGUUUUCCCAUUUCUCUUUGCACCUCUUUGAGUUCCUGUUGAAUCCUAACCUUCUCAUUCCCGCUGAUAUCUCUUCCCACAGUGGUCCUUUUGGCCCGUUCUCUUGAUAUUUCGAAUCAAGAUUCGUCCUCAGCUUUAUCAGAGCUUCUAUCUCCACCUUCGGCCACCGCGACGAGCUCGC
This 353-nucleotide long non-coding RNA is filed under the name Capsella grandiflora. RNAcentral describes it as "long non-coding RNA (CGRA_LNC000663)". The record is from RNAcentral. Lineage: Eukaryota; Viridiplantae; Streptophyta; Magnoliopsida; Brassicales; Brassicaceae.